UCUAUUCUUUUUUUUUCAUCAACACUUUUUUUGAUCCUUAGAUUCUAAAAAGCCCAACCGAAAACUUAAAGUAUUUGCCAUUCCAAAAGAAACCCCAAACUUGGAUUUUUGCAUGUAUCAUGACAAAACAUAGAAAAAUUAAAAUAUACCUGUCGCUAUGCGAAAAAUACAGAGUCGCCAUCGGUUUUUAUUUAUUCCAAAGGAAAGGGAAAAUAUCGAGAAAACCCCAAAGAAUGGUCAUCGCAACCACGAACAGGUUCGGAAGUCGGUUAUGCAAGGGGAAGGUAUUAGCACCCCUCACAUCCAUGGUACUCCAUGGGAACCAUCUAGGAUGCUUGCGCUUAAGUGGGUGUUGUUUAUCGAAUGUUUGCUUGCCAAAGUUAAGCGGAGUGAAGGUAGAUUUUAAAUUAGUGUGCUCGCCAAGGAAUGGAUCCUCGUGCCUACGUAUGCCCACUUGUUGAAGUGAGAAAUCAUAGCUUUCGUAGUUCGUGGGUUUAAACUUGUUUGUUUGUUUUGUUGAUUUUAUUACCUUGAAGAAGAAUUUUCGAUUGUGUCGCCCUAAGGCUCAAACAAAAGGGUUGAAUGCGUUGAGUUAUUUUUAAGUUUUGGAGAAAGUGUUAUUGAUUUCGGAUUGCACUAAAGACUAUGGAUAAAGGUGAAUAUCUCAGACUACCAAGCCAAACGUCUUGUGUUCGAAGCAUUCAGAAUGAAAAGAAAGCUCCAGUCUCAUCCCUUCUUUAUCGCUUAAGGCUCGUGACGUACGAUCCUAAUCGCCAUUUAUUGUGUUUUUGGAUUUGAUUUGGAAAAGACCGCUUGAUGUUGGAUCAAGGGUUUGUUUAUUGAGUUUGACUUGAAAAAGAGACUGCUUGACGUUGGAUCAAGGGUUUGAUUAUCGAUUUUGAAUGGGUGAACGUUCCUAAUGCCUAAGGAGUAGCUAAGAAGCAAUAAAAGAAAGCAAGUAAAUGCGUACAUCGGAAAGGGGAGGGGGUACAGGUAAAGUACAAGGGAGUGCGGAAAUAAAAUGUCUAAUGUCAGGUAGCCCAAGAGAAAUCCAUGCGUGUGCAAUUGUGUCAUAAACUAGAAAGCACAUAAAAGAUUACAAUUUGUCUUGGAUCUUGAAUGCUCCAUCCAUGUUCGGGUUGAAUAUUUGUCCAAGGUAUUUUGCAAGGGUCCUAACAACAAUCUCUAAGUCCAUUCCAAUGUCCAUUACAUGUUUGAGAAUUAUCUUUUUUAUUUUUGAAGUCUUAUCCAUUUUUAGUCAUUUUUAGAUGAGAUGAAUGAAGAAUGUACAAUGAUAUAGCAAAAAUAAAAUAAAAGUAAGUAAAUGAUAAAAAGAUAAUGUUAGGAGUUAGGUGCGGAAAAGUAAAAAGUUAGAAAUUAGAAUGCGGAUAUUUAAAAGUUAGAUGUUAAUUGUUAGAUGUUAGUUGUUAGAUGUUAGAAAUCAAGAUUAAUCAUAAUCAAAAUCAAAAUCAAAAUCAAAAUCAAAAUCAAAAUCAAAAUAGAAAAUAAGAGAAUUGAAAUCAAUACAAAAAUAUAAAUCACAUGUCUAAAGUAAAACAACAUUCUAAAAUUAUCAAACAAUAUCACAAUUACGAUCAAAUUAAAAUUCUAAUGUCAAUCAAUAUCAAGUUUAAUAUUAAGUUAUUUCUAAUAUCAACAAACAAUUAUCAAAAGGUUAAGAGAAAAUGAGAUUCUAAGAUUAAAAAACCAUUAUCAAAAAUAAAAUUCUAAACAAUCAUCAAACCAUAUUCUAGAAUCAUUAACCCAAUUAUCUACAACUCUAGGCAAGUAAUCCAAUUAUCUAAUAAAUUAAUCCAAUUAUCCAAUUAUCUAAUCAAUUAAUCCAAUUGUCCGUUUAACUAAUCAAUUCACAAAGCAGCAUGGACUUGAACCAGUUAUCCAAUAGUCCGAACCUAAACCAUUUAUCCAACAGCAAAAACCCGAACACGCCUCCUCACUCACGAAGACAUCGGGAAAAGCACCAUGGAAUCUACGCUCAACCUUAUCCUCGAAAUGAAAUCGAAAACAGAAAUGUGCUAUAUGUAUAUGUUGAGGGAAGACGUACCUUACCGUGCGUGUCGCUAAUGUUCGCCGCUCUCCAAUCACUGUGUAUCGAAGCUGAAGGCAAAAAUUCCACUCGACUCGUCGUUACGCUGCGGUGAAGGAAGCAUACUCUAUUCAAAUCGUCCUUGCAUCGUGAAUCCAGAUUCGGUUCGACCUUGUUGCUAGCAAGUAUUCCUUUCCUCCUUCUUCGCACUUCUCUUCUUCUUCUUCUUCUUACGAGUCCACACGUGAAAGCAAUGGUGAGAGUGGAGCGUUGAUUGGUGGUUUAGCUCUGCCGUGUAGAGCUUCGAAUGUUGAAGCUCUCACAACAAUGGAGUGAGCGUGUACUAAGGGUUAGGGAAAGAGUGCAGAACUCGUUUUUGGAUCAGAAAAAUUCGGCCCCAAUGAUUGGCAAUGAUUGCCCUAUUUAUAGCGUGAUCCAAGAGGGUCGUUUGGGGAAUUCGUUCUGAGUGGUUGGGCCUUGAUUUAUCCAGUUGGCAAAGGUUUUUAUUUUCUUGUAAAAUUUGAUAAUAAGUGAGAAAAGAGUGAGUCGUGUGGGAUUUUGGUAAAUAACACACGUGCGUUUUAUUCUCUAAUUCAUUUGUUUGAUUUUAUAUCCAACUGUGGAUAUGCACUGCAUUGCCUUGGGAGCGGUUUUAACCGAAUUGUUCAAUCUUGCAAGUUUAACCAAACUUACACUUAUUAUGGCAUUUGACUCUCACUGCAGGACACCUGCUGAUGCAAUGGAUGGCUCAUCUUGGACCCAACUCCAUGACCAUUAGUUCAGCUUGUAGGACACUCACCUUAGGCCUCUUGAGACUUGCUUGAUAUUCAACGAUAGUUAUAUCGAAAGGGCUCAUGAUGAUGGUUAUGCGGUCAGGUGCAGGGUGAUUUUCGGUUAUCCCGAAGAUAUUGCUGCAGGCCUGAAGGAUGCAGGUUCGGUUUCGAUGUCGUUUAUUUGUUUUGGAAUUUCGGCUCAGUUUGUUGUCGUUCGCAGGUCAUGGCAUGUUGGUGAGAAGUCGUUCAUCUAUGGCUGCAUUUUGUGGUUUGGUUGUCGGCGUGGCUUACGCGUUGCCUUCAGAAGCUUUUGAUGGAGACUCGGGAGUGCUAGCAGCGUUGUUACGUUGGGAUGCUGCACUUUGGUCAUUUCCUCUUACGAGCAAUUUCAGUAGUAAUAGAUGGUUAUGGCUUGUAAGGUUGCAGUACCGUUCCACAAAGUGCCGGUGCAUCACUAUCAAAACCAUCCUAUGACUCUGAAUCCACCCAACAACAAGAGUUUGUCCAAAAAUAACCUGUCGUGCUGGAUCGUGGACAUUGCAGGAUGCGACACGCUUAUGUCGCUCGUACAGCUUCCACUUUGUUGGAUCGCGGUAGCUUCCAUACACAUAUAUAUGAUGGCAUCUUGAUCUCCUAGCCAAUCACGUCCUUUGACAGUGUCAUACAUGUGCCACCUCCAGUCAUCUUCAGUCAUAUUUCCCGAUGCCGCAUGAAUGCCACCCUGAGCUGCAACAGUGCGUGAAUAAGUUGGGAAAAGCUUAGUAAUACAAGCAGUAUUGAAUCCAUGUCCUGAAAGUCCAAUAGCAGCUCUCAAACCAACACCACCAGCCCCUACCACAAUUGCAUUAUAAGUAUGAUCUCUGCAUUUCGAUUUUGGUGAUUUCGCGUUUUCUCUCUGAAUGUGGCUUGUUUUCCUCAGUUGUAACAACAGCGGGAAUGGUUAUCACUGCUGCCUAAUCUUACCAUGGAUAUAUUUGGCCUCAUAGCUAAUAAUGCUGGAGGCGUUGUAGAAACGAGCUGGCAUCCUGAAAGUGUUUGAGAGAUCAUGGAUAUCCUUGACGUCAUGGGUAACACAACCAAAGCCACCGCUUAGCUCUGCUGCACUUACGUCUUUCCUCCUGUUUAGUGCUAAUGUUGAUAUUGGAAUUCCUUUGAAAAGUUUACAUGGAAAGGUUGAAUUGAAUGAUGUGAAUGUGUGGGAAUUAAGAUUAUGUAUGGAUUUGUGAUUGUGUAAUUGACUUGAGGUUAAAUGGAUAUGAAUUAUUGGAUUUGGAUUUAAUUGGA
Lathyrus oleraceus (garden pea) is the source of this 4104-nucleotide long non-coding RNA. RefSeq lists it as uncharacterized. Lineage: Eukaryota; Viridiplantae; Streptophyta; Magnoliopsida; Fabales; Fabaceae. The record is from RefSeq and is a predicted model, not a curated record. The transcript has 5 exons.